This 74-nucleotide transfer RNA is filed under the name Oleiphilus sp. HI0072. RNAcentral describes it as "tRNA-Val". It matches the Rfam family "tRNA". Rfam says of the family: Transfer RNA (tRNA) molecules are approximately 80 nucleotides in length. Lineage: Bacteria; Pseudomonadati; Pseudomonadota; Gammaproteobacteria; Oceanospirillales; Oleiphilaceae. The record is from RNAcentral.
GUGGUUAGCUCAGCUGGGAGAGCAUCGCCCUUACAAGGCGAGGGUCACAGGUUCGAUCCCUGUACCACCCACCA